This 253-nucleotide ribosomal RNA is filed under the name uncultured bacterium. RNAcentral's name for it is "partial 16S ribosomal RNA". It matches the Rfam family "Bacterial small subunit ribosomal RNA", at positions 524 to 776 of the family's 1533-position model. The record is from RNAcentral.
UACGUAGGGUGCGAGCGUUGUCCGGAUUUAUUGGGCGUAAAGAGCGUGUAGGCGGCCAGGUAGGUCUGCUGUGAAAACUCGAGGCUUAACCUCGAGACGUCGGUUGAAACCGUAUGGCUAGAGUCCGGAAGAGGAGAGUGGAAUUCCCGGUGUAGCGGUGAAAUGCGCAGAUAUCGGGAAGAACACCCGUGGCGAAGGCGGCUCUCUGGGACGGUACUGACGCUGAGACGCGAAAGCGUGGGGAGCGAACAGG